This 252-nucleotide ribosomal RNA is filed under the name uncultured bacterium. RNAcentral describes it as "partial 16S ribosomal RNA". It matches the Rfam family "Bacterial small subunit ribosomal RNA", at positions 524 to 776 of the family's 1533-position model. The record is from RNAcentral.
UACGUAGGGUGCAAGCGUUGUCCGGAAUUAUUGGGCGUAAAGAGCGUGUAGGCGGCCCGAUUAGUCCGCUGUGAAAGUCCAGGGCUCAACCCUGGAAUGCCGGUGGAUACUGUCGGGCUAGAGUCCGGAAGGGGCGAGUGGAAUUCCUGGUGUAGCGGUGAAUGCGCAGAUAUCAGGAGGAACACCAAUGGCGAAGGCAGCUCGCUGGGACGUGACUGACGCUGAGACGCGAAAGCGUGGGGAGCAAACAGG